UUUGCAUAUCAAAAAAGCGGAGGAAAAGAAACCAACCGGGAUUGCCUCAGUAACGGCGAGUGAAGCGGCAAGAGCUCAAAUUUGAAAGCUGGCUCCUUCGGAGUCCGCAUUGUAAUUUGCAGAGGAUGCUUUGGGUGCGGCCCCCGUCUAAGUGCCCUGGAACGGGCCGUCAGAGAGGGUGAGAAUCCCGUCUUGGGCGGGGUGUCCGUGCCCGUGUAAAGCUCCUUCGACGAGUCGAGUUGUUUGGGAAUGCAGCUCUAAAUGGGUGGUAAAUUUCAUCUAAAGCUAAAUACUGGCCGGAGACCGAUAGCGCACAAGUAGAGUGAUCGAAAGAUGAAAAGCACUUUGAAAAGAGAGUUAAACAGCACGUGAAAUUGUUGAAAGGGAAGCGCUUGCGACCAGACUCGCCCGCGGGGUUCAGCCGGCAUUCGUGCCGGUGUACUUCCCCGUGGGCGGGCCAGCGUCGGUUUGGGCGGCCGGUCAAAGGCCCCUGGAAUGUAGUGCCCUCCGGGGCACCUUAUAGCCAGGGGUGCAAUGCGGCCAGCCUGGACCGAGGAACGCGCUUCGGCACGGACGCUGGCAUAAUGGUCGUAAACGACCCGUCUUGAACCACGGAC
RNAcentral lists this ribosomal RNA (617 nucleotides) under Aspergillus niger. Its description in RNAcentral is "partial large subunit ribosomal RNA". It matches the Rfam family "Eukaryotic large subunit ribosomal RNA", at positions 35 to 666 of the family's 3401-position model. Lineage: Eukaryota; Fungi; Ascomycota; Eurotiomycetes; Eurotiales; Aspergillaceae. The record is from RNAcentral.